RNAcentral lists this ribosomal RNA (494 nucleotides) under uncultured bacterium. RNAcentral's name for it is "partial 16S ribosomal RNA". It matches the Rfam family "Bacterial small subunit ribosomal RNA", at positions 28 to 507 of the family's 1533-position model. The record is from RNAcentral.
GACGAACGCUGGCGGCGUGCUUAACACAUCCAAGUCGAACGGAAAGGCCUGCUUUCCCUUGUGGAUUGCGGGUACUCGAGUGGCGAACGGGUGAGUAACACGUGAGUGAUCUGCCCCCAACUUGGGUAUAAGCCUGGGAAACUGGGUCUAAUUCCCGAUAGGACUGCAGGGUGGUGCCUGUGGUGGAAAACGAUUUUCUAGUGGUUGGGGAUGAGCUCGCGGCCUAUCAGCUUGUUGGUGGGGUAAUGGCCUACCAAGGCGGCGACGGGUAGCCGGCCUGGGAGGGUGGACGGCCACAUUGAGACUGAGAUACGGCCCAGACUCCUACGGGAGGCAGCAGUGGGGAAUAUUGCACAAUGGGCGGAAGCCUGAUGCAGCGACGCCGCGUGGGGGAUGACGGCCUUCGGGUUGUAAACUCCUUUCGACCGCGAGGAAGCCACCUGGUUGGAAGGGUGGUGACGGUAGUGGUAGAAGAAGCACCGGCUAACUACGUG